RNAcentral lists this ribosomal RNA (465 nucleotides) under Vreelandella stevensii. Its description in RNAcentral is "partial 16S ribosomal RNA". It matches the Rfam family "Bacterial small subunit ribosomal RNA", at positions 338 to 795 of the family's 1533-position model. Lineage: Bacteria; Pseudomonadati; Pseudomonadota; Gammaproteobacteria; Oceanospirillales; Halomonadaceae. The record is from RNAcentral.
CCUACGGGGGGCAUCAGUGGGGAAUAUUGGACAAUGGGGGCAACCCUGAUCCAGCCAUGCCGCGUGUGUGAAGAAGGCCCUCGGGUUGUAAAGCACUUUCAGUGAGGAAGAACGCCUGGUGGUUAAUACCCAUCAGGAAAGACAUCACUCACAGAAGAAGCACCGGCUAACUCCGUGCCAGCAGCCGCGGUAAUACGGAGGGUGCGAGCGUUAAUCGGAAUUACUGGGCGUAAAGCGCGCGUAGGUGGCUUGAUAAGCCGGUUGUGAAAGCCCCGGGCUCAACCUGGGAACGGCAUCCGGAACUGUCAAGCUAGAGUGCAGGAGAGGAAGGUAGAAUUCCCGGUGUAGCGGUGAAAUGCGUAGAGAUCGGGAGGAAUACCAGUGGCGAAGGCGGCCUUCUGGACUGACACUGACACUGAGGUGCGAAAGCGUGGGUAGCAAACAGGAUUAGAUACCCCAGUAGUC